GACGAACGCUGGCGGCGUGCUUAACACAUGCAAGUCGAACGGAAAGGCCCCUUUGGGGGUACUCGAGUGGCGCACGGGUGAGUAACACGUGAGUAACCUGCCCUUGACUUCGGGAUAACUUCAGGAAACUGGGGCUAAUACCGGAUAGGAAUCCUUGCUGCAUGGUGGGGGUUGGAAAGCUUCGGCGGUUUUGGAUGGACUCGCGGCUUAUCAGCUUGUUGGUGGGGUAGUGGCUUACCAAGGCUUUGACGGGUAGCCGGCCUGAGAGGGCGACCGGCCACAUUGGGACUGAGAUACGGCCCAGACUCCUACGGGAGGCAGCGGUGGGGAAUAUUGCACAAUGGGCGGAAGCCUGAUGCAGCAACGCCGCGGGCGGGAUGACGGCCUUCGGGUUGUAAACCGCUUUCAGCAGGGGCGAAGCUUGUGGUGACGGUACCUGCAGAAGAAGCACCGGCUAACUACGUG
This 465-nucleotide ribosomal RNA is filed under the name uncultured bacterium. Its description in RNAcentral is "partial 16S ribosomal RNA". It matches the Rfam family "Bacterial small subunit ribosomal RNA", at positions 28 to 507 of the family's 1533-position model. The record is from RNAcentral.